GAUGAACGCUGGCGGCGUGCCUAAUACAUGCAAGUCGAGCGAACAGACGAGGAACUUGCUCCUCUGACAUUAGCGGCGGACGGGUGAGUAACACGUGGAUAACCUACCUAUAAGACUGGGAUAACUUCGGGAAACCGGAGCUAAUACCGGAUAAUAUAUUGAACCGCAUGGUUCAAUAGUGAAAGACGGUUUUGCUGUCACUAAUAGAUGGAUCCGCGCCGCAUUAGCUAGUUGGUAAGGUAACGGCUUACCAAGGCAACGAUGCGUAGCCGCCCUGAGAGGGUGAUCGGCCACACUGGAACUGAGACACGGUCCAGACUCCUACGGGAGGCAGCAGUAGGGAAUCUUCCGCAAUGGGCGAAAGCCUGACGGAGCAACGCCGCGUGAGUGAUGAAGGUCUUCGGAUCGUAAAACUCUGUUAUUAGGGAAGAACAAAUGUGUAAGUAACUAUGCACGUCUUGACGGUACCUAAUCAGAAAGCCACGGCUAACUACGUG
RNAcentral lists this ribosomal RNA (497 nucleotides) under uncultured bacterium. Its description in RNAcentral is "partial 16S ribosomal RNA". It matches the Rfam family "Bacterial small subunit ribosomal RNA", at positions 28 to 507 of the family's 1533-position model. The record is from RNAcentral.